UACGUAGGCAGCGAGCGUUGUUCGGAAUUACUGGGCGUAAAGAGUGUGUAGGCGGUGUUCCCAGUCUGUUGUGAAAUCUCCCGGCUUAACUGGGAGGGUGCAGCGGAAACUAGAAUGCUAGAGGGUGGGAGAGGUAAGCGGAAUUCCUGGUGUAGCGGUGAAAUGCGUAGAUAUCGGGAGGAACACCUGUGGCGAAAGCGGCGCACUGGACCACAACUGACGCUGAGGCGCGAAAGCUAGGGGAGCAAACAGG
Molecule: ribosomal RNA, 253 nt
Filed under: uncultured bacterium
Lineage: Bacteria
Description: partial 16S ribosomal RNA
Rfam family: Bacterial small subunit ribosomal RNA
Source: RNAcentral